RNAcentral lists this transfer RNA (73 nucleotides) under Canis lupus familiaris (dog). It matches the Rfam family "tRNA". Rfam says of the family: Transfer RNA (tRNA) molecules are approximately 80 nucleotides in length. Their secondary structure includes four short double-helical elements and three loops (D, anti-codon, and T loops). The record is from Rfam by way of RNAcentral. Lineage: Eukaryota; Metazoa; Chordata; Mammalia; Carnivora; Canidae. RNAcentral also lists the same sequence under 1 other name.
ACCUAGCUGGCUCAGUUGGUAGAGCAUGUGACUUUUAAUCUCAGGGUCAUGAGUUCAGGUGCCAUACUGGGUG